UACGUAGGGGGCAAGCGUUGUCCGGAAUUAUUGGGCGUAAAGAGCGCGUAGGCGGUCCGAUAAGUCGGCUGUGAAAGUCAGGGGCUCAACCCUUGAAAGCCGGCCGAUACUGUCGGACUAGAGUCCGGAAGAGGCAAGUGGAAUUCCCGGUGUAGCGGUGAAAUGCGCAGAUAUCGGGAGGAACACCAGUGGCGAAGGCGACUACCUGGCCUGUUCUUGACGCUGAGGCGCGAAAGCUAGGGGAGCAAACGGG
RNAcentral lists this ribosomal RNA (253 nucleotides) under uncultured bacterium. Its description in RNAcentral is "partial 16S ribosomal RNA". It matches the Rfam family "Bacterial small subunit ribosomal RNA", at positions 524 to 776 of the family's 1533-position model. The record is from RNAcentral.